This 253-nucleotide ribosomal RNA is filed under the name uncultured bacterium. RNAcentral's name for it is "partial 16S ribosomal RNA". It matches the Rfam family "Bacterial small subunit ribosomal RNA", at positions 524 to 776 of the family's 1533-position model. The record is from RNAcentral.
UACGAAGGGGGCUAGCGUUGUUCGGAUUUACUGGGCGUAAGGCGCACGUAGGCGGAUCGUUAAGUCGGGGGUGAAAUCCUGGAGCUCAACUCCAGAACUGCCUUCGAUACUGGCGAUCUAGAGUCCGGAAGAGGUGAGUGGAACUCCUAGUGUAGAGGUGGAAUUCGUAGAUAUUAGGAAGAACACCAGUGGCGAAGGCGGCUCACUGGUCCGGUACUGACGCUGAGGUGCGAAAGCGUGGGGAGCAAACAGG